GGACAUGAAUUUUUUUUUUUUUUUCUCCAAGUCAAUAUGGAUAAAUGAAUUGAUAUCACACUUGUUAAUUGUGACAGAUAGCAUUAACCUCUAUUAUUUCAAAACUUAUUAAAUGAUUUUCUGUUCAAUCAUUGUAAUUGACAAUUAGUAUUUUUUUUAUCUUCCUUGAAAUUUGUCCAGAUUUGAAAAAUUCUAUAUCACGG
RNAcentral lists this unclassified non-coding RNA (203 nucleotides) under Hevea brasiliensis (rubber tree). Lineage: Eukaryota; Viridiplantae; Streptophyta; Magnoliopsida; Malpighiales; Euphorbiaceae. The record is from RNAcentral.